UACGAAGGGUGCAAGCGUUACUCGGAAUUACUGGGCGUAAAGCGUGCGUAGGUGGUUUGUUAAGUCUGUUGUGAAAGCCCCGGGCUCAACCUGGGAAUUGCAUUCGAGACUGAAUAGCUAGGGUACGGUAGAGGGAAGUGGAAUUUCCGGUGUAGCGGUGAAAUGCGUAGAUAUCGGAAGGAACACCAGUGGCGAAGGCGACUUCCUGGCCUGUUCUUGACGCUGAGGCGCGAAAGCUAGGGGAGCAAACGGG
This 253-nucleotide ribosomal RNA is filed under the name uncultured bacterium. Its description in RNAcentral is "partial 16S ribosomal RNA". It matches the Rfam family "Bacterial small subunit ribosomal RNA", at positions 524 to 776 of the family's 1533-position model. The record is from RNAcentral.